UACGAAGGGGGCAAGCGUUGUUCGGAAUGACUGGGCGUAAAGGGCGCGUAGGCGGCUUGAUAAGUCAGGCGUGAAAUUCCUGGGCUUAACCUGGGGGCUGCGUCUGAGACUGUUGAGCUAGAGGCCGAGAGAGGGUGGUGGAAUUCCCAGUGUAGAGGUGAAAUUCGUAGAUAUUGGGAAGAACACCGGUGGCGAAGGCGGCCACCUGGCUCGGAACUGACGCUGAGGCGCGACAGCGUGGGGAGCAAACAGG
This 253-nucleotide ribosomal RNA is filed under the name uncultured bacterium. RNAcentral describes it as "partial 16S ribosomal RNA". It matches the Rfam family "Bacterial small subunit ribosomal RNA", at positions 524 to 776 of the family's 1533-position model. The record is from RNAcentral.